Non-coding RNA from Candidatus Kerfeldbacteria bacterium, 3753 nucleotides. The record is from Rfam. NCBI's taxonomy places the organism in Bacteria, Candidatus Kerfeldiibacteriota.
UGCGUCGGGAACAAGGGUAUAUGGUGGAUGCCUAGACAUUGUUUAGCGAUAAAGGACGUAGCAGACUGCGAUAAGCCUCGGGGAGUGGUCAAGCACAUUUUGAUCCGGGGAUGUCCGAAUGGGGUAACCCACUGUGGUAAACCCACAGUAUCAAUCAGUGAAUACAUAGCUGAUUGAAGCACACCCAGGGAACUGAAACAUCUUAGUACCUGGUGGAAUAGAGACCAAUAGGUAUUCCCCUAGUAGUGGCGAACGAACGGGGAGAAGCCCAAACCGAUUGAGCUUGCUUAAUCGGUGUUGUGAGGUAGAAACGUUCCAAGUUUAUCUUGGAGGUAGAGUUAAAACAAAGAAGUUUUCGUAGUAAAACAGGAUGGAAAGCCUGGCCAAAGAAGGUGAUAGCCCUGUAUGCGAAACGAGAUUUCGCUCUACGGUUUUUAUUCUCGAGUAACAUGGAACACGUGAAAUUCUAUGUGAAUCUACCGUGACUAUACGGUAAGGCUAAAUAUAAACAAUGAUCGAUAGUGAACAAGUACCGUGAGGGAAAGGUGAAAAGAACCCCGCAAGGGGGGUGAAAUAGUAUCUGAAACCAUAUAUCUACAAUAGAUCGGACCUCAAGAUUCGUUCUGAGGGACGGUGUGCCUAUUGAAGAAUGAGCCAACGAGUUAUAUUAAAUGGCAGACUAAGCUUUGAAAGAGUGGAGUCGUAGGGAAACCGAGUGUUAAUAGCGCGAUCUAUACCUAAAUAGACAGGACGGACUGAAAAAUCAGGUAGUUCUUUUAUUUAGGUAUAAUGUCUUUUGAUAUAGACCCGAAACCGAGUGAUCUAGCCAUGACCAGGGUGAACCUUGCGUAACAGCAAGGGGAAGCCCGAACUCACUAGUCGUAUAACGCUAGGGGAUGAGUUGUGGUUAGCGGAGAAAUUCCAAUCGAACUCGGAAAUAGCUGGUUCUCCUCGAAAUAUAUUUUGGUAUAGCCUUGUAAACUACUUUUUUGGGGGUAGAGCACUGAAUGGGUGUGGAGUCUUUUAGAUAUCCUACCUAACCAAACUCCGAAUACCAGAAAAGACUAUUACAAGAGUCAGAACGUGGGGGCUAAGCUUCACGUUUCAAAAGGGAAACAGCCCAGAUCACCGGCUAAGGUCCCCAAAUCUCUGUUAAGUGUGAAAAGUAGUGUCGUGACUCAAACAACCAGGAGGUUGGCUUAGAAGCAGCCAUCCUUUAAAGAAAGCGUAAUAGCUCACUGGUCAAGUUGCUUCGCGCUGAAAAUUUAACGGGGCUAAACAGAGUACCGAAGCCGUGGAUGUUUUGUUUUUUAAACAAAAUGUGGUAGAGGAGCAUUCGCAUUGCGAUGAAGAUGGAUCCGUGAGGACCACUGGAGCGAUGCGAAGCGAGAAUGUUGGCAUAAGUAGCACAAAUGGUGGUUAAAAUCCACCACGCCGUAAGCUCAAGGUUUCCUGGGCAACGAUGAUCGACCUAGGGUUAGACGGUCCUAAGGCGAGGCCGAAAGGCGUAGUCGAUGGACAGACGGUUAAUAUUCCGUCUCUAGUAUUCAUUUCGUGAUAUCCGACGCGUUUUGAAAGCGCAGGUGUCUUAAAGGAUUGAGACAUUAGUGGUGUUGAAAAACAUCAUUACCAGAGGGCGGGGCAACCCAAACUCAAGCAGUGCGGACAGAAGGCCUAGAAAAAGAUGGUCACAUGUGGUGAAUACUAUCCGUACCGCAAACCAACACAGGUGAGCGAGGAGAGUAUCCUCAGGCGUACGAGAGAACCUUCGUUUAGGAACUCGGCAAAAUAACGGCCGUAACUUCGGGAUAAGGCCUGCCCUGCACCGCAAGGCAGCAGGGCCGCAGUUAAAGAUUUCAAGCGACUGUUUACCAAAAACACAGGUCUCUGCUAAAUCGCAAGAUGAAGUAUAGGGGCUGAUGCCUGGCCAGUGUCCGAACGUUAAAGAAGCGGGUUAGUCCUUCGGGGCGAAGCUUGCGACUGAAGCGCGGAUGAACGCCAGCGAUAACUAUAAUCGUUCUAAGGUAGCGAAAUUCCUUGUCGGGUAAGUUCCGACCUGCACGAAUGGCAUAACGACUUGAAAACUCUCUCAACGAAGGACUCGGCGAAAUUACACUACCGGUAAAGAUGCCGGUUACCCGCAGCUGGACGAAAAGACCCCGUGAAGCUUUACUAUAGCUUGGCAUUGAUAUAUUUGUUUGUUUGCUCAGUAUAGGUGGGAGACUUUGAAGGGCCGCUUUGGCGGUUCCGGAGUCACCAGUGAGAUACCACCCUUAUGGAUUAGUAUAUCUAACCUUGAGCCGUGAAACCGGCCAGGGGACAGUGUCUGGUGGGUAGUUUGUCUGGGGCGGAUGCCUCCCAAAAAGUAACGGAGGCGUUUACAAAGGUUGGCUAGGUUCGGAUGGAAACCGAACUGAUAGUGCAAGCGCAUAAGCCAGCUUUACUGCAAGACAUACAAGUCGAGCAGUUACGAAAGUAGAAGCUAGUGAUCCGACCGUCCAAUUUAGGAUGGCGGAAGCUCAUCGGAUAAAAGUUACUCCGGGGAUAACAGGCUAGUCAGGUCCAAUAGCUCAUAUAGACGACCUGGUUCGGCACCUCGAUGUCGGCUCGUCGCAUCCUGGGGGUGAAGUAGCUCCCAAGGGUUUGGCUGUUCGCCAAUUAAAGCGGCACGCGAGCUGGGUUCAGAACGUCGUGAGACAGUAGAUUGUGCUGUCUAUAAACUUCGCUAUUUGCUGGAAACUCUGAAAUAGUCCGCAAGGAGAAAAUUAGAGGACUAUAGUAUCUCACACUACUUGUGCUAUAAUAUAGAUUAUGACAAGUGACAAUGUGUUGAGUGCAGACAACCAGCAGGAAAGACAACAAACCAUUCAUCCAUGGUAUAUUUCAGGAUUUGUUGAUGGAGAAGGAAGUUUUCAUAUUGCUUUUUGUAAAGAUAAAAAUAUGAAAACCAACCUCAAAGUUAUUCCUGAAUUUCAUAUUUCUCAAAAUGACCAUUCGGUAAGAGUUUUAGAAAAUAUUCAAAAUUAUCUUCACUGCGGUCACAUUAAAGAAAAUCACCAUGGAAGAAAAAAUGAUCAAACAUUUGUAUAUGUUGUUCGCAAUCGAAUAGAUUUAUCAGAAAAAAUUAUUCCAUUUUUUCAAAAGUAUCAUUUGCGUACUCAAAAGGCAAAAGACUUUGAAAAGUUUGCAAAAAUUGUACAAAAAAUGAAUACUGGUUAUCAUACUUCGAUUGUUGGAGCAAAAGAAAUAAUUAAUCUGGCGUAUACCAUGAAUGACAAUGGUAAACACAGGAUAAUUAGUCAAAAUAAAUUGAUUAGGAUUGUUGAAUCCUCAGAGACUAUACGCGAAGCACCGGUCAAAAUAAGGCCGGGGAAGAUAUAGUCCGAACUGCAUGGCGACAUGCAGAAUGUAGAUCGCUCUACAUCACCACAGAGCACUAACAGUAAUUGAUGUGGUUUUGCAAAGUAACAGAUUGUCGGUCUCCUAUCCGCUGUGGGCGUAGAAUUUUGAGAGGGCCCUUCUCUAGUACGAGAGGACCGAGAAGGACGAAGCUCUCGUGUACCAGUUGUCCCACCAGGGGCAUUGCUGGGUAGCGACCUUCGGUUAAGAUAACCGCUGAAAGCAUAUAAGCGGGAAGCUGUCCUCAAGAUUAGAAUUCAUAACUUCCUGGAAGAUUACCAGGUUAAUAGGCUCUAGGUAUAAGCCCUGUAAAGGGUUCAGCCAAGGAGUACUAAGUAGUUUUCCCGACGCAAA